Molecule: non-coding RNA, 79 nt
Filed under: Gordonia soli
Lineage: Bacteria; Bacillati; Actinomycetota; Actinomycetes; Mycobacteriales; Gordoniaceae
Also listed under: 1 other name
Description: ZTP sequence
Rfam family: ZMP/ZTP riboswitch aptamer (pfl RNA motif)
About the family: Previously known as pfl RNA. ZMP is also known as AICAR.
Source: RNAcentral
CGUCGUAAGCGCGACUGGCGUGGCCGGAGUAACCGGCGUGGAGCGUAGAUCCGUGGCAUCGUCCGCCUGGGUGCCCUCA